This 20-nucleotide ribosomal RNA is filed under the name Beauveria bassiana. Its description in RNAcentral is "partial 28S ribosomal RNA". The record is from RNAcentral. Lineage: Eukaryota; Fungi; Ascomycota; Sordariomycetes; Hypocreales; Cordycipitaceae.
GUGACCUCGAAUCAGGUAGA